UAAAACUCAAAUGAAUUGACGGGGGCCCGCACAAGCGGUGGAGCAUGUGGUUUAAUUCGAUGCAACGCGAAGAACCUUACCUGGUCUUGACAUCCACGGAAGUUUUCAGAGAUGAGAAUGUGCCUUCGGGAACCGUGAGACAGGUGCUGCAUGGCUGUCGUCAGCUCGUGUUGUGAAAUGUUGGGUUAAGUCCCGCAACGAGCGCAACCCUUAUCCUUUGUUGCCAGCGGUCCGGCCGGGAACUCAAAGGAGACUGCCAGUGAUAAACUGGAGGAAGGUGGGGAUGACGUCAAGUCAUCAUGGCCCUUACGACCAGGGCUACACACGUGCUACAAUGGCGCAUACAAAGAGAAGCGACCUCGCGAGAGCAAGCGGACCUCAUAAAGUGCGUCGUAGUCCGGAUUGGAGUCUGCAACUCGACUCCAUGAAGUCGGAAUCGCUAGUAAUCGUGGAUCAGAAUGCCACGGUGAAUACGUUCCCGGGCCUUGUACACACCGCCCGUCACACCAUGGGAGUGGGUUGCAAAAGAAGUAGGUAGCUUAACCUUCGGGAGGGCGCUUACCACUUUGUGAUUCAUGACUGGGGUGAAGUCGUAACAAGGUAACCGUAGGGGAACCUGCGGUUGGAUCAC
This 631-nucleotide ribosomal RNA is filed under the name Escherichia coli. RNAcentral's name for it is "bacterial SSU rRNA". It matches the Rfam family "Bacterial small subunit ribosomal RNA", at positions 895 to 1526 of the family's 1533-position model. The record is from RNAcentral. RNAcentral also lists the same sequence under 2 other names. Lineage: Bacteria; Pseudomonadati; Pseudomonadota; Gammaproteobacteria; Enterobacterales; Enterobacteriaceae.